This 400-nucleotide ribosomal RNA is filed under the name uncultured bacterium. Its description in RNAcentral is "bacterial SSU rRNA". It matches the Rfam family "Bacterial small subunit ribosomal RNA", at positions 355 to 752 of the family's 1533-position model. The record is from RNAcentral.
UGAGGAAUAUUGGUCAAUGGUCGGAAGACUGAACCAGCCAUGCCGCGUGCAGGAUGACUGCCCUAUGGGUUGUAAACUGCUUUUUUAAGGGAACAAUAAGUUGUACGUGUACAGCGAUGAGUGUACUUUAUGAAUAAGCACCGGCUAACUCCGUGCCAGCAGCCGCGGUAAUACGGAGGGUGCAAGCGUUAUCCGGAUUUAUUGGGUUUAAAGGGUGCGUAGGCGGUUUAGUAAGUCAGCGGUGAAAUUUUCCGGCUUAACCGGGAACUUGCCGUUGAUACUGCUGAGCUUGAAUAUGAAUGAAGUUGGAGGAAUGUGUGGUGUAGCGGUGAAAUGCAUAGAUAUCACACAGAAGACCGAUUGCGAAGGCAUCUGACUAAUUCAUUAUUGACGCUGAUGC